GACGAACGCUGGCGGCGUGCUUAACACAUGCAAGUCGAGCGGUAAGGCCCUUUCGGGGGUACACGAGCGGCGAACGGGUGAGUAACACGUGGGUGACCUGCCCUCAGCUCUGGGAUAAGCCUGGGAAACCGGGGUCUAAUACUGGAUAUGACUCCAUGACGCAUGUUGUGGGGUGGAAAGCCUUGUGCGGCUGAGGAUGGGCCCGCGGCCUAUCAGCUUGUUGGUGGGGUGANGGCCUACCAAGGCGACGACGGGUAGCCGGCCUGAGAGGGCGGCCGGCCACACUGGGACUGAGACACGGCCCAGACUCCUACGGGAGGCAGCAGUGGGGAAUCUUGCGCAAUGGGCGAAAGCCUGACGCAGCGACGCCGCGUGAGGGAUGACGGCCU
This 389-nucleotide ribosomal RNA is filed under the name uncultured bacterium. RNAcentral's name for it is "bacterial SSU rRNA". It matches the Rfam family "Bacterial small subunit ribosomal RNA", at positions 28 to 417 of the family's 1533-position model. The record is from RNAcentral.